Puntigrus tetrazona (Sumatra barb) is the source of this 283-nucleotide long non-coding RNA. RefSeq lists it as uncharacterized. The transcript has 5 exons. The record is from RefSeq and is a predicted model, not a curated record. NCBI's taxonomy places the organism in Eukaryota, Metazoa, Chordata, Actinopteri, Cypriniformes, Cyprinidae.
UGCUUUAUUAAUUGUGACUUAGGGUGAGCGAGGUCAUGAUGGACUGAGCAUCACAGGGCCUCCCGGUCCCCCUGGCAUGCCUGGGCCGACCAUUAACAUCCAGGAUCUCCUUCUUCAUGAUACUGCAGCCAAAUUGAACCUCACUAAGAUCAGAGGACCUCCAGGCCCCAUGGGCCCUGAAGGCUUGCCUGGCAGAGCAGGAUUUCCUGGCCCAAGAGGACCAAAAGGUGAAAUUGGGUUUCCUGGCAUUCAAGGACCUCCAGGACUGAAGGGAGAAAAGGGG